Molecule: ribosomal RNA, 497 nt
Filed under: uncultured bacterium
Lineage: Bacteria
Description: partial 16S ribosomal RNA
Rfam family: Bacterial small subunit ribosomal RNA
Source: RNAcentral
GACGAACGCUGGCGGCGUGCCUAAUACAUGCAAGUUGAGCGCUGAAGGUUGGUACUUGUACCAACUGGAUGAGCAGCGAACGGGUGAGUAACGCGUGGGGAAUCUGCCUUUGAGCGGGGGACAACAUUUGGAAACGAAUGCUAAUACCGCAUAAAAACUUUAAACACAAGUUUUAAGUUUGAAAGAUGCAAUUGCAUCACUCAAAGAUGAUCCCGCGUUGUAUUAGCUAGUUGGUGAGGUAAAGGCUCACCAAGGCGAUGAUACAUAGCCGACCUGAGAGGGUGAUCGGCCACAUUGGGACUGAGACACGGCCCAAACGGCUACGGGAGGCAGCAGUAGGGAAUCUUCGGCAAUGGACGAAAGUCUGACCGAGCAACGCCGCGUGAGUGAAGAAGGUUUUCGGAUCGUAAAACUCGGUUGGUAGAGAAGAACGUUGGUGAGAGUGGAAAGCUCAUCAAGUGACGGUAACUACCCAGAAAGGGACGGCUAACUACGUG